Molecule: non-coding RNA, 54 nt
Organism: Salmo salar (Atlantic salmon)
Lineage: Eukaryota; Metazoa; Chordata; Actinopteri; Salmoniformes; Salmonidae
Source: Rfam
AGUUUAAAUCACUGUAAGUCACUCUGGGUAAGAGUGUCUGCUAAAUUACCAAAA